Molecule: long non-coding RNA, 814 nt
Filed under: Marmota monax (woodchuck)
Lineage: Eukaryota; Metazoa; Chordata; Mammalia; Rodentia; Sciuridae
Source: RNAcentral
CUCGUCCCCAGCCCUAUUUUGUAUUUUAUAUGUGCUGUAUACCUUCAGUGGAUACAGGGUCUCACUGAGUUGCUUAGUGCCUCGCAGUUGUUGAGGCUGGCUUUGAACUUGUGAUCCUCCUGUCUCAGCUUCCCAAGCCGCUGGGAUUAUAGGUGUGUGCCACUGUACCUGUCUAAAAUCUGUGUAUUUUGAAAGAAAUUUCAAACGUAAAGGAAGUUUCAGAAUAAUAUAAUGAAUUUCUAUACACACACACACACACAUAUAUAUGUAUAAAUAUACAUUUAUUUAUUUUUGAGACAGGGUCUUGCUGAAUUUACUUGGGGCCUUGCCAAGCAACUGAGACUGGCCUAGAACUUGGGAUCUUCCUGCCUUAGCCUCUUAAGUUGCUGGGGUUACAAGCAUGCAUAACCACACUUGGUGAAUUCCCAUAUUCUUUUAACUUAGAUUAAUUGGUAACUGAAAUUUUGUCACAUUUGCAUUAUCUUUCCCUGUAAAAAAAAAAAUUAAAUUUAUUUUUGGCUGAGCUGUUUGAGAAACAUCAUGAUCCUUAUCAAAAUAUUCCACAGUAUUACCCAAGAACAAGCAUUCUCUUAGAUAACUAAUUUAGGCAAUUUAACAUUUAUAACAUACUGUUACCAAAUAAACAGUUCAUAUUUAAAUUUUUCUAAUUGUGCCAAAAGUGUCCUCUUUUUCAAUCUAGAAUUACAUAUUGUAUUUAAUUAACAUGUCUUUUAGUCUUUUUCUUUUUUGUUUCUUUUGCUGUGCCAGGGAUCAAACCAAGGGCAUCGUGCAUGAUAGGCAAGCUCUCUACCUC